AGAGCAAGUCAGCCUAAUCUCUCAUUAUCUUCUCAGCAUUGCGCCUGGGAACAAUGGGGAGCGGAGGAACCACUUUUUGGGGCUUAUCUUUGACUCCCGAUGAGUCAAGAAGGAUAUCUCUCAAUCCUAGCCCGUCAGCUAACUCCGUAGGCAUUGAGGGGAGACUGA
Limnoraphis robusta CS-951 is the source of this 168-nucleotide non-coding RNA. NCBI's taxonomy places the organism in Bacteria, Bacillati, Cyanobacteriota, Cyanophyceae, Oscillatoriales, Sirenicapillariaceae. The record is from Rfam.